Molecule: ribosomal RNA, 460 nt
Filed under: uncultured bacterium
Lineage: Bacteria
Description: partial 16S ribosomal RNA
Rfam family: Bacterial small subunit ribosomal RNA
Source: RNAcentral
CCUACGGGGGGCAGCAGUGAGGAAUAUUGGUCAAUGGACGAGAGUCUGAACCAGCCAAGUAGCGUGAAGGAUGACUGCCCUAUGGGUUGUAAACUUCUUUUAUAUGGGAAUAAAAUGUUCCACGUGUGGGAUUUUGUAUGUACCAUAUGAAUAAGGAUCGGCUAACUCCGUGCCAGCAGCCGCGGUAAUACGGAGGAUCCGAGCGUUAUCCGGAUUUAUUGGGUUUAAAGGGAGCGUAGGUGGAUUGUUAAGUCAGUUGUGAAAGUUUGCGGCUCGACCGUAAAAUUGCAGUUGAAACUGGCAGUCUUGAGUACAGUAGAGGUGGGCGGAAUUCGUGGUGUAGCGGUGAAAUGCUUAGAUAUCACGAAGAACUCCGAUUGCGAAGGCAGUUCACUGGACUGCAACUGACACUGAGGCUCGAAAGUGUGGGUAUCAAACAGGAUUAGAUACCCGAGUAGUC